This 1286-nucleotide long non-coding RNA is filed under the name Nicotiana tabacum (common tobacco). RNAcentral describes it as "long non-coding RNA (NTAB_LNC013796)". The record is from RNAcentral. Lineage: Eukaryota; Viridiplantae; Streptophyta; Magnoliopsida; Solanales; Solanaceae.
GUUGUGCCAAUCUGUGGCAAUCCACCGCAAAGACAAAAUUUGAAGGCAAUUUGCUAGAAUCUGCUGAUGUUUGUAUAAAUUUUCUUCAGAUUUAUUUCGCUUAUUUUGUAUUAGUUUUCUUCGGAUUUAUUUUGCUUGUUUUGUAUGAAUUUUCUUUAGAGUUGUUGGGUAUUUUUAAUAGUUUUAAAACUUGUGAGUAUAAAUCUCAUUUUAUGUUUUGUUUUUCAAAAAAAAAAAGUGAAAUAUGUUUUGAAAAAUUAUGUCUAAACAGAUUUUCAUCUUCAAAUCGAACUUCACCCAAAUCAAAAUUUUAAAAUAAAUUUAAAAAUCUAUGACCAAACGCUAGCUUAGUAUUCCUUCAUUUCUAGAGAAAGAGGAAAAAAAAGUUAGGUACUGCUAAAUGUCAUAAUAAUUAAGUAAUUAACUAGAGGCUGAUCCCUUAACACCAACGGAUCUUUGCCUAACUUUCUUUAUUCUAUUGUUGGAAACUUGGAGGCAACCAAAGUACCUAACUCUUGAAUCUAGAGAAUUUUUUUUUCCACCUCAGACACAUAUUUUGCAGAAAAAAUAGUAGUGGUAAUAAUUAAAAUCUGUAACUGCCAAUUAUUUAGUUUUCCAUUUUCCCCCAGGCAGGCUAUGGGUUGGCGCCUUUUGGUACUUAGACAAAGUUAUGCCGGAUUAUAAUUCAACGAUUGUCUUUUUUUGGUUUCUCAUUCGGUGUUUGGUAUCCGCAUUGGAACCCGACUAUAUUCGGAUUCACGCCGGAUAGGAUUCCAUUCGGAGGUGUAGCGCUCUCUACCAAGGAUUUUUCCAUACUCAGAUUCGAACCCAAGACUUCUGGUAAAGGGAGGAGCAUCCACUGCACCACAUCCUUUGGUGGUAUAACUCAACAAUUGUCAUACCAGGAUUAAGAUCUUAGAUUUUUUUUGGUAAUGACGGUGAAAAAUUACCAUUAACAAAAACAAAACAAUACACAAGCACAUAAGAAACCAAUUUGGCUUCUCAGGCCCCUGACGAGCUAAUUACAUAAUCUUCUAAUAAGUAAACUGCAUCUAUGGGCUUUCUUUGAUUCUCAUAGCAUAUCUAUUCUCUCUGCGAUCUCUCUUUGUAUUUGUGCAAUUACACAAUAAGAAAUCUUAUAUUAUUAAGUGCAUUUUUUUCGAAUUUUUGGUUCAUUGCAUCGAAAAUGGGAUAUAUGAUGUAUAACAAAAGCAUGUGUUUGGUUUUAAGUAAUUGGAUAAAAUUAUGUUUACAAUUUUACCCUUAUUUUAAAGUAACUAAGAAAG